CAGCAGCCGCGGGAAAACAGAGGGUGCGAGCGUUAAUCGGAUUUACUGGGCGUAAAGCGUGCGUAGGCGGCUUUUUAAGUCGGAUGUGAAAUCCCUGAGCUUAACUUAGGAAUUGCAUUCGAUACUGGGAAGCUAGAGUAUGGGAGAGGAUGGUAGAAUUCCAGGUGUAGCGGUGAAAUGCGUAGAGAUCUGGAGGAAUACCGAUGGCGAAGGCAGCCAUCUGGCCUAAUACUGACGCUGAGGUACGAAAGCAUGGGGAGCAAACAGGAUUAGAGACCCCUGUAGUCCCUGUCUCUUAUAA
RNAcentral lists this ribosomal RNA (301 nucleotides) under uncultured bacterium. Its description in RNAcentral is "partial 16S ribosomal RNA". It matches the Rfam family "Bacterial small subunit ribosomal RNA", at positions 509 to 809 of the family's 1533-position model. The record is from RNAcentral.